RNAcentral lists this ribosomal RNA (2923 nucleotides) under Klebsiella pneumoniae. RNAcentral describes it as "23S ribosomal RNA". It matches the Rfam family "Bacterial large subunit ribosomal RNA". The record is from RNAcentral. Lineage: Bacteria; Pseudomonadati; Pseudomonadota; Gammaproteobacteria; Enterobacterales; Enterobacteriaceae.
GGGUUGUGAGGUUAAGCGACUAAGCGUACACGGUGGAUGCCCUGGCAGUCAGAGGCGAUGAAGGACGUGCUAAUCUGCGAAAAGCGUCGGUAAGGUGAUAUGAACCGUUAUAGCCGGCGAUGUCCGAAUGGGGAAACCCAGUGCAAUUCGUUGCACUAUCGUUAACUGAAUACAUAGGUUAACGAGGCGAACCGGGGGAACUGAAACAUCUAAGUACCCCGAGGAAAAGAAAUCAACCGAGAUUCCCCCAGUAGCGGCGAGCGAACGGGGAGCAGCCCAGAGUCUGAAUCAGCUUGUGUGUUAGUGGAACGGUCUGGAAAGUCCGACGGUACAGGGUGAUAGUCCCGUACACCAAAAUGCACAGGUUGUGAACUCGAAGAGUAGGGCGGGACACGUGGUAUCCUGUCUGAAUAUGGGGGGACCAUCCUCCAAGGCUAAAUACUCCUGACUGACCGAUAGUGAACCAGUACCGUGAGGGAAAGGCGAAAAGAACCCCGGCGAGGGGAGUGAAAAAGAACCUGAAACCGUGUACGUACAAGCAGUGGGAGCACCUUCGGGUGUGACUGCGUACCUUUUGUAUAAUGGGUCAGCGACUUAUAUUCUGUAGCAAGGUUAACCGUAUAGGGGAGCCGCAGGGAAACCGAGUCUUAACUGGGCGUUAAGUUGCAGGGUAUAGACCCGAAACCCGGUGAUCUAGCCAUGGGCAGGUUGAAGGUUGGGUAACACUAACUGGAGGACCGAACCGACUAAUGUUGAAAAAUUAGCGGAUGACUUGUGGCUGGGGGUGAAAGGCCAAUCAAACCGGGAGAUAGCUGGUUCUCCCCGAAAGCUAUUUAGGUAGCGCCUCGUGAACUCAUCUUCGGGGGUAGAGCACUGUUUCGGCUAGGGGGUCAUCCCGACUUACCAACCCGAUGCAAACUACGAAUACCGAAGAAUGUUAUCACGGGAGACACACGGCGGGUGCUAACGUCCGUCGUGAAGAGGGAAACAACCCAGACCGCCAGCUAAGGUCCCAAAGUCAUGGUUAAGUGGGAAACGAUGUGGGAAGGCACAGACAGCCAGGAUGUUGGCUUAGAAGCAGCCAUCAUUUAAAGAAAGCGUAAUAGCUCACUGGUCGAGUCGGCCUGCGCGGAAGAUGUAACGGGGCUAAACCAUGCACCGAAGCUGCGGCAGCGACACUAUGUGUUGUUGGGUAGGGGAGCGUUCUGUAAGCCUGCGAAGGUGACCUGUGAGGGUUGCUGGAGGUAUCAGAAGUGCGAAUGCUGACAUAAGUAACGAUAAAGCGGGUGAAAAGCCCGCUCGCCGGAAGACCAAGGGUUCCUGUCCAACGUUAAUCGGGGCAGGGUGAGUCGACCCCUAAGGCGAGGCCGAAAGGCGUAGUCGAUGGGAAACAGGUUAAUAUUCCUGUACUUGGUGUUACUGCGAAGGGGGGACGGAGAAGGCUAUGUUAGCCGGGCGACGGUUGUCCCGGUUUAAGCAUGUAGGCUGGUUGUCCAGGCAAAUCCGGAUAAUCAAGGCUGAGGUGUGAUGACGAGGCACUACGGUGCUGAAGUAACAAAUGCCCUGCUUCCAGGAAAAGCCUCUAAGCAUCAGGUAACAUCAAAUCGUACCCCAAACCGACACAGGUGGUCAGGUAGAGAAUACCAAGGCGCUUGAGAGAACUCGGGUGAAGGAACUAGGCAAAAUGGUGCCGUAACUUCGGGAGAAGGCACGCUGGUGUGUAGGUGAAGUCCCUGCGGAUGGAGCUGAGACCAGUCGAAGAUACCAGCUGGCUGCAACUGUUUAUUAAAAACACAGCACUGUGCAAACACGAAAGUGGACGUAUACGGUGUGACGCCUGCCCGGUGCCGGAAGGUUAAUUGAUGGGGUUAUCCGUAAGGAGAAGCUCUUGAUCGAAGCCCCGGUAAACGGCGGCCGUAACUAUAACGGUCCUAAGGUAGCGAAAUUCCUUGUCGGGUAAGUUCCGACCUGCACGAAUGGCGUAAUGAUGGCCAGGCUGUCUCCACCCGAGACUCAGUGAAAUUGAACUCGCUGUGAAGAUGCAGUGUACCCGCGGCAAGACGGAAAGACCCCGUGAACCUUUACUAUAGCUUGACACUGAACAUUGAGCCUUGAUGUGUAGGAUAGGUGGGAGGCUUUGAAGCGUGGACGCCAGUCUGCGUGGAGCCAACCUUGAAAUACCACCCUUUAAUGUUUGAUGUUCUAACGUUGGCCCCUUAUCGGGGUUGCGGACAGUGUCUGGUGGGUAGUUUGACUGGGGCGGUCUCCUCCCAAAGCGUAACGGAGGAGCACGAAGGUUAGCUAAUCCUGGUCGGACAUCAGGAGGUUAGUGCAAUGGCAUAAGCUAGCUUGACUGCGAGCGUGACGGCGCGAGCAGGUGCGAAAGCAGGUCAUAGUGAUCCGGUGGUUCUGAAUGGAAGGGCCAUCGCUCAACGGAUAAAAGGUACUCCGGGGAUAACAGGCUGAUACCGCCCAAGAGUUCAUAUCGACGGCGGUGUUUGGCACCUCGAUGUCGGCUCAUCACAUCCUGGGGCUGAAGUAGGUCCCAAGGGUAUGGCUGUUCGCCAUUUAAAGUGGUACGCGAGCUGGGUUUAGAACGUCGUGAGACAGUUCGGUCCCUAUCUGCCGUGGGCGCUGGAGAAUUGAGGGGGGCUGCUCCUAGUACGAGAGGACCGGAGUGGACGCAUCACUGGUGUUCGGGUUGUCAUGCCAAUGGCACUGCCCGGUAGCUAAAUGCGGAAGAGAUAAGUGCUGAAAGCAUCUAAGCACGAAACUUGCCCCGAGAUGAGUUCUCCCUGAGACUAUAAGUCUCCUGAAGGAACGUUAAAGACGAUGACGUUGAUAGGCCGGGUGUGUAAGCGCAGCGAUGCGUUGAGCUAACCGGUACUAAUGAACCGUGAGGCUUAACCUUACAACGCCGAAG